GCUCAGGACGAACGCUGGCGGCGUGCCUAAUACAUGCAAGUCGAACGCUUCUUUUCCCACCGGAGCUUGCUCCACCGGGAAAAGAGGAGUGGCGAACGGGUGAGUAACACGUGGGUAACCUGCCCAUCAGAAGGGGAUAACACUUGGAAACAGGUGCUAAUACCGUAUAACAAUCGAAACCGCAUGGUUUCGUUUUGAAAGGCGCUUUACGGUGCCGCUGAUGGAUGGACCCGCGGUGCAUUAGCUAGUUGGUGAGGUAACGGCUCACCAAGGCCACGAUGCAUAGCCGACCUGAGAGGGUGAUCGGCCACAUUGGGACUGAGACACGGCCCAAACUCCUACGGGAGGCAGCAGUAGGGAAUCUUCGGCAAUGGACGAAAGUCUGACCGAGCAACGCCGCGUGAGUGAAGAAGGUUUUCGGAUCGUAAAACUCUGUUGUUAGAGAAGAACAAGGGUGAGAGUAACUGUUCACCCCUUGACGGUAUCUAACCAGAAAGCCACGGCUAACUACGUGCCAGCAGCCGCGGUAAUACGUAGGUGGCAAGCGUUGUCCGGAUUUAUUGGGCGUAAAGCGAGCGCAGGCGGUUUCUUAAGUCUGAUGUGAAAGCCCCCGGCUCAACCGGGGAGGGUCAUUGGAAACUGGGAGACUUGAGUGCAGAAGAGGAGAGUGGAAUUCCAUGUGUAGCGGUGAAAUGCGUAGAUAUAUGGAGGAACACCAGUGGCGAAGGCGGCUCUCUGGUCUGUAACUGACGCUGAGGCUCGAAAGCGUGGGGAGCAAACAGGAUUAGAUA
RNAcentral lists this ribosomal RNA (791 nucleotides) under Enterococcus mundtii. RNAcentral's name for it is "bacterial SSU rRNA". It matches the Rfam family "Bacterial small subunit ribosomal RNA", at positions 22 to 784 of the family's 1533-position model. The record is from RNAcentral. Lineage: Bacteria; Bacillati; Bacillota; Bacilli; Lactobacillales; Enterococcaceae.